Mycena capillaripes is the source of this 85-nucleotide non-coding RNA. Lineage: Eukaryota; Fungi; Basidiomycota; Agaricomycetes; Agaricales; Mycenaceae. The record is from the annotation of a GenBank genome assembly.
GGCCGCCUGGCGAAAUGGCAUCGCGUCUGACUACGAUUAUGUCUAUGUAAUCAGGAGAUUGCAGGUUCGACCCCUGCGGUGGUCA